UGACACCGAUCACACCUUGUGACAUAAUCGAUGGAGUCAUGGUACAUGGUAGGCCAGUAAUAGCCUUAUCGGAGCAGUUUGUAGGAUAAAGAUCUGACCUCCAAGUGACUUCCACAGACUCUCUCAUGUACCUCCCUCAAGGUGAAGUUGGCUUCAGAAGGCCAGAGAUAUUUCAGGAGGGGCAAAGAGUAUGACCUCUUGUAUAGCUUGCCUUCGUAAAGGAUAUAUCGGGAGGCCUGGUUCCUAAGCUUUCAAGUUUCUUUU
Molecule: long non-coding RNA, 264 nt
Filed under: Elaeis guineensis (African oil palm)
Lineage: Eukaryota; Viridiplantae; Streptophyta; Magnoliopsida; Arecales; Arecaceae
Description: long non-coding RNA (EGUI_LNC064706)
Source: RNAcentral